RNAcentral lists this ribosomal RNA (440 nucleotides) under uncultured bacterium. RNAcentral describes it as "partial 16S ribosomal RNA". It matches the Rfam family "Bacterial small subunit ribosomal RNA", at positions 339 to 795 of the family's 1533-position model. The record is from RNAcentral.
CUACGGGAUGCUCCAGUGGGGAAUAUUGCACAAUGGGGGAAACCCUGAUGCAGCAACGCCGCGUGAAGGAUGAAGGUUUUCGGAUCGUAAACUUCUUUGAUGAGGGAAGAAAAAUGACGGUACCUCAAAAACAAGCCACGGCUAACUACGUGCCAGCAGCCGCGGUAAUACGUAGGUGGCGAGCGUUGUCCGGAAUUACUGGGUGUAAAGGGCGUGUAGGCGGGAAUGUAAGUCAGAUGUGAAAUUCCGAGGCUCAACCUCGGAGCUGCAUCUGAAACUAUAUUUCUUGAGUGCUGGAGAGGAAAGCGGAAUUCCUAGUGUAGCGGUGAAAUGCGUAGAUAUUAGGAGGAACACCAGUGGCGAAGGCGGCUUUCUGGACAGUAACUGACGCUGAGGCGCGAAAGCGUGGGGAGCAAACAGGAUUAGAUACCCUCGUAGUC